Small nuclear RNA from Molossus molossus (Pallas's mastiff bat), 145 nucleotides. RefSeq annotates it as U4atac minor spliceosomal RNA. NCBI's taxonomy places the organism in Eukaryota, Metazoa, Chordata, Mammalia, Chiroptera, Molossidae. The record is from RefSeq and is a predicted model, not a curated record. The transcript has a single exon.
AGCAUCCUUUUCUUGGGGUUGUGGUACUGUCCAAUUAGCAUGUAGUGAGGGCAGUACUGCUAACGCCUUAAAACAAAAAUCCCAACUGAUUACAUUAUACAGCAAAGAACCAGGGCCCUAAGGCUUUUCUUCACUUACUGAAAUG